RNAcentral lists this ribosomal RNA (429 nucleotides) under Pseudomonadota bacterium. Its description in RNAcentral is "Proteobacteria bacterium partial 16S ribosomal RNA". It matches the Rfam family "Bacterial small subunit ribosomal RNA", at positions 355 to 776 of the family's 1533-position model. Lineage: Bacteria; Pseudomonadati; Pseudomonadota. The record is from RNAcentral.
UGGGGAAUAUUGGACAAUGGGCGAAAGCCUGAUCCAGCCAUGCCGCGUGUGUGAAGAAGGUCUUCGGAUUGUAAAGCACUUUAUGUUGGGAGGAAGGGCAGUAAGCGAAUACCUUGCUGUUUUGACGUUACCGACAGAAUAAGCACCGGCUAACUCUGUGCCAGCAGCCGCGGUAAUACAGAGGGUGCAAGCGUUAAUCGGAAUUACUGGGCGUAAAGCGCGCGUAGGUGGUUCGUUAAGUUGAAUGUGAAAGCCCCGGGCUCAACCUGGGAACUGCAUCCAAAACUGGCGAGCUAGAGUGGGGCAGAGGGUGGUGGAAUUUCCUGUGUAGCGGUGAAAUGCGUAGAUAUAGGAAGGAACACCAGUGGCGAAGGCGACCACCUGGGCUCAUACUGACACUGAGGUGCGAAAGCGUGGGGAGCAAACAGG